This is a long non-coding RNA of Dreissena polymorpha, 498 nucleotides long. RefSeq lists it as uncharacterized. The transcript has 3 exons. The record is from RefSeq and is a predicted model, not a curated record. Lineage: Eukaryota; Metazoa; Mollusca; Bivalvia; Myida; Dreissenidae.
UUCGGGAGGUAUUUGGCUGUUAAGGGGUCAAUCGUGUUUCCAACUUCACAUUGAUAGAAAAAUAAGAACAUAUACGCGAUCAAUAAGAAAAAUUUAGAUGCGAUCACUGAGAGAACUUAACACUGAGAGAACAUAGAGCACUUAUACGCGAUAACUGAGAGAACUUAAGACGCGAUCAUUGAGAGAACUUAACACUGAGAGAACUUAAAGAACUUAUACGCGAUUUUUGAGAGAAAUUAGGUAAGAACUUGGUAAGAACUUAACACGCCAUUACAGAGACAAAUUAACACAUGGUCAAUGAGAGAACUUAACACUGAGAGAACUUAGCGCACUUAUACACGAUUACUGAGAGAAAUUAAUACGCGAUCAUUGAGAGAACUGAACAAUGAGAGAAUAUAGAGAACUUAUACGCGAUUAUUGAGAGAAAUUAGGUUGGAACUUAGUUAGAACUUAACACGCGAUUACAGAGACAAAUUAACACACAGUCAAUGAGAAAAC